AAGACCCGUGCCCACAGUUGCCAGCAUACCCUCCGGGGUGAUGGGCACACUGUGGGGACCGCCGCUGCUAAAGCGGAGGAAGGUGCGGGCUACGGUAGGUCAGUAUGCCCCGAAUCAUCCGGGCUACACGCGGGCUACAAUGGUUGGGACAAUGGGCACCUACACCGAGAGGUGAUGGUAAUCUCCUAAACCCAGCCUUAGUUCGGAUUGAGGGCUGCAACUCGCCCUCAUGAAGCCGGAAUCCGUAGUAAUCGCGUAUCAAUAUCACACGGUGAAUAC
Molecule: ribosomal RNA, 279 nt
Filed under: uncultured archaeon
Lineage: Archaea
Description: partial 16S rRNA
Rfam family: Archaeal small subunit ribosomal RNA
Source: RNAcentral